GGUGUGGUUUCCUGUAGUGUUGUAGGUCAACAACCAUCAAGCUGGAGGAGGUGAGUGGUGUGGUUUCCUGUAGUGUUGUAGAAGGUCAACAGCCAUCAAGAUGGAGUGGGUGAGUGGUGUGGUUUCCUGUAGUGUUGUAGAAGGUCAACAGCCAUCAAGAUGGAGUGGGUGAGUGGUGUGGUUUCCUGUAGUGUUGUAGAAGGUCAACAGCCAUCAAGAUGGAGUGGGUGAGUGGUGUGGUUUCCUGUAGUGUUGUAAACUGACACUGACUCCUCUCCUACUGCUUGUCAGGUUUUCUUUAUUACAUCUGAGCGUUUUACACAUCAAUCUGCUUCUUGAUGCAUUAUAAAAUCUAGGCGCCCAUACUGACGUGUCCUCUCUUUAUUAUUGGGCCCACUAAUAACCAGUAUAUAAUAACGGUCCUCCUGUAUAGCUCCGUUGGCUUUGGUAUGGUGCUUGCAACUCCAGGAUUGUGGGUUGGAUUCAUAUUUGGGGACUCUGUUUUGUUAAAUUCAGUCUGGUAUGAGAAAGGUAUUCACAGUCUGCGGAAAGCUGAGUAUCUUUGCUAUUGAGCUGUGCCUUAAAAUCAUUGGUGUGAUUUGCUAAUAUAUAUGAGCAUACAAAUGAGUAACGGCAGGCUGAGCCAAGGACCUCAUUUCAAGAUGGCUGCUGCCUACAUUCCGAUUAGCAUUGUGAAGCAUAAACUAAAUAAACACGGAACACGUCGAUACACACCGAAAGCGGUGACUCCGCAGAUCAUGACGAUGUGUUAUUCAUCUGCCUGUGACCUACCGUUAUUGAUCACCAGCCCCGAGGGUCAAAAUGUUUAUUUCACACAACGUUUUCACCAAACAUCUUACAAUGUACGCUUCGAUUAGGUCUGUGUUUGAGCUAUAGUCAUAUGUAGGGGUAUGAAGUUAAUCCUUAGGUUGGUAGGAGCAAAUCUAGUCUAUUGCUAAUGUUAUUUGAUGAUGUAUGACUUAGUGGCCACGGCGAACGUCCACCCACGGCGAACGUCCACCCAGUGUCUAUCUUUGCGCAUCAAAAAUAUGAAGUUGCCUGCUCUUUACAUCCCGUGGGCAUCCAUUACACACGGGAUUGGCUACUAUGGCGCCUUGACAAUCUUGUAGCCACUGAGAUAAGCUUUUCGGGGAUAUGCAGUUGACCUGGGUCGAAUAAAGCAAGCUUGUAACCUUUUUAUGCGUAAUGCGAACUAUUGUUACCUGGCUCAGACACGAGACGCACCAAUCACGCUCCACUACAUUGUAAACAUUUCAUCGCUUUAACAUAAAAUAUUUCUUCUCGGGGGGGGGUAAGAACUAAGAAUACUGAAAAGGAAGCUAAAAAGAACCACUAUGAGUAAGUAUACCGACAUAGAAGCUUUGAAUAAAAUUCUGGACGGACUCGGAUCAGGGGAGCGAUCUGGACAACAAGGAUUUCGACUCGGCCGACAAAAAGAUUGCUUUCUAGAAGGAUUGGAUCCAUGUUUAGAUCCGAGGAUGCAGAGGAUUUUGAUGAUGCUGUUUGGGGGCCACACCUCCCCAGCAAGCACCCCCCCCCCCCCCCCCCCCCCCCAUCUUCUGUCAGAAAUGACAGUUCACUUUUUGUUCCCUGACAGAGAGGGACUGCUUCAUAGACUAUCACAACAUGCACAAGCUACGGUGAAAGUGACAUCUAAUCAUCUACACCUGGGAUGUAAAAACAAACACGAAUGCCAUUUGGAAGUUCAGCUUAUUUAUGUUUUUGCAAAAAAAAAAUUGUGAAGGACACGUGUGUGUGUGUGUGUGUGACCAAGUUUGUUUGAUAAGACCUAUUUUUACAUUUGGUUUAUCUGUUGCUUUUUAUAUUGUUGUGAACAGUUCAUUUGUAUGUGGGACCAAUACAUUAGAUAUGCCUAGGCUAAAUGUUCAGGCACUUUGGAGAGUGCCCCUGAAACCACCACAAUGUUUGAGUGACGUUGGUGUUGUAGAAAUGUAGUUUUUAUAGUGAACAAUAGUAGUUAGUUACUAAUCCAGUGUGCAAAAACAGUGCAGUUACCAAAUUCGGACACUUUCGGACACUUUGGAGAGGUUGAAAGGACACUUGAAUGUACCCUGGACACCCCAUAACACCACCAUGUUUGAGUGAGGUUCAUAUGGUAGAAACAUUUUAUACUGAACACAUAGCAUUUAGGAAUUGCAAAUAUGUAAUAGCACUGGAAUGAUCUAAUUUGGAGAGGUUUAGGGACACUUGGAAACGUCCCAUGACCACAACUGACACCACUUACUAGAACAUCUGCCCAUUUUGAGUUGUCAGGUCUAUAAAUUCCAUUUUUAUUUUUAUGAUAUUGUUCACAUGUUGUGGAAGCCAUCUGAUGUAUUUCCUGCUCUGGGCAUCAAUAAUUCACUUAUAGCUUGUCAAUGAAAGAUGACUUUCAAAAUAAAUAAAAAUUAAAACACCGGUUA
Oncorhynchus mykiss (rainbow trout) is the source of this 2444-nucleotide non-coding RNA. The record is from RefSeq and is a predicted model, not a curated record. Lineage: Eukaryota; Metazoa; Chordata; Actinopteri; Salmoniformes; Salmonidae.